Molecule: long non-coding RNA, 461 nt
Organism: Megalobrama amblycephala (Wuchang bream)
Lineage: Eukaryota; Metazoa; Chordata; Actinopteri; Cypriniformes; Xenocyprididae
Exons: 4
Source: RefSeq, a predicted model, not a curated record
UUUUCUCUUGCAGUCAGGAUUCCUGAAGAGGGAGAGCUGCAAUGAAAGUCAGUCUUUACAUGAAACAAGUUAAGACACUGGAGGCAGAGGUUUGCCGGUUUUCGCCUCUUUCUUCUCUGAACACAAAAUCUCAGGGUGUGGACUGCUCCUGAUAAGAUAAGAGUUAUGCGGACCAAACCACUCGGGCUUUGUGGACAGGGGAAGAUUGGACAGCCGAGGUGGCAGCGCCAACAGGAAAUGGCCCCCUUUGAAACAGGAAAAGGACGUGAAGAGUGUUUGUCAAAGGAUACUGAAAGGAUUGUUACAUAAACUAAAGGAGCUUCUGCGAGUUUAGGAGAGCUAUUCUUCGAUCUUACCACAGAAUGAAAUGGACGGAUUGACAGAGGACAAGUAGAAAAGGUGGUAGCUUGUCCUUCAACUGUGGGUGUGAAAAGCUGGAUCAAUAAAAAAAAGGAAGAAAA